Molecule: ribosomal RNA, 497 nt
Filed under: uncultured bacterium
Lineage: Bacteria
Description: partial 16S ribosomal RNA
Rfam family: Bacterial small subunit ribosomal RNA
Source: RNAcentral
GAUGAACGCUGGCGGCGUGCCUAAUACAUGCAAGUCGAGCGACCAGACGAGGAGCUUGCUCCUCUGACGUUAGCGGCGGACGGGUGAGUAACACGUGGAUAACCUACCUAUAAGACUGGGAUAACUUCGGGAAACCGGAGCUAAUACCGGAGAAUAUAUUGAACCACAGGGUUCAAUAGUGAAAGACGGCUUUGGUGUCACCUAUAGAUGGAUCCGCGCCGCAUUAGCUAGUUGGUAGGGUAACGGCUUACCAAGGCAACGAUGCGUAGCCGAUCUGAGAGGAUGAUCGGCCACACUGGAACUGAGACACGGUCCAGACUCCUACGGGAGGCAGCAGUAGGGAAUCUUCCGCAAUGGGCGAAAGCCUGACGGAGCAACGCCGCGUGAGUGAUGAAGGUCUUCGGAUCGUAAAGCUCUGUUAUUAGGAAAGAACAAAUGUGUAAGUAACUAUGCACGUCUUGACGGUACCUAAUCAGAAAGCCCCGGCUAACUACGUG